This 594-nucleotide ribosomal RNA is filed under the name Hanseniaspora pseudoguilliermondii. RNAcentral's name for it is "partial 26S ribosomal RNA". It matches the Rfam family "Eukaryotic large subunit ribosomal RNA", at positions 49 to 657 of the family's 3401-position model. Lineage: Eukaryota; Fungi; Ascomycota; Saccharomycetes; Saccharomycodales; Saccharomycodaceae. The record is from RNAcentral.
UAGGGAGGAAAAGAAACCAACUGGGAUUACCUUAGUAACGGCGAGUGAAGCGGUAAAAGCUCAAAUUUGAAAUCUGGUACUUUCAGUGCCCGAGUUGUAAUUUGUAGAAUUUGUCUUUGAUUAGGUCCUUGUCUAUGUUCCUUGGAACAGGACGUCAUAGAGGGUGAGAAUCCCGUUUGGCGAGGAUACCUUUUCUCUGUAAGACUUUUUCGAAGAGUCGAGUUGUUUGGGAAUGCAGCUCAAAGUGGGUGGUAAAUUCCAUCUAAAGCUAAAUAUUGGCGAGAGACCGAUAGCGAACAAGUACAGUGAUGGAAAGAUGAAAAGAACUUUGAAAAGAGAGUGAAAAAGUACGUGAAAUUGUUGAAAGGGAAGGGCAUUUGAUCAGACAUGGUGUUUUUUGCAUGCACUCGCCUCUCGUGGGCUUGGGCCUCUCAAAAAUUUCACUGGGCCAACAUCAAUUCUGGCAGCAGGAUAAAUCUUUAAGAAUGUAGCUACUUCGGUAGUGUUAUAGCUUAUGGGAAUACUGCUAGCUGGGAUUGAGGACUGCGCUUCGGCAAGGAUGUUGGCAUAAUGGUUAAAUGCCGCCCGUCUUGA